This 510-nucleotide RNase P RNA is filed under the name Fibrella aquatilis. RNAcentral describes it as "RNase P RNA component class A". It matches the Rfam family "Bacterial RNase P class A". Rfam says of the family: Ribonuclease P (RNase P) is a ubiquitous endoribonuclease, found in archaea, bacteria and eukarya as well as chloroplasts and mitochondria. The record is from RNAcentral. Lineage: Bacteria; Pseudomonadati; Bacteroidota; Cytophagia; Cytophagales; Spirosomataceae.
GGCAUGGAUCGUCUUAUCGCCUUGCCGCAGGGCAGGGAGGAAAGUCCGGACAGCAUAGGGCACCCUACUUCCUAACGGGAAGGCGGGCGGCGGGUAACCACCGUUCGACAGCCAGUGUCACAGAAAAUAUACCGCCGGGGUUAAUGAGUGAAUGAGUGAAUGAGUGAAUGAGUGAAUAGGCUGACGCUAGAGCAAACCCGCGCGUCAGCCUAUUCACUCAUUCACUCAUUCACUCAUUCGCUCAUUCACUCAGGUAAGGGUGAAAAGGGGGUGUAAGAGACCACCGCCCGGAUGGCGACAUGCGGGGCAGGAUAAACCUUAGGGGCUGAAAGGCCAAACAGUACCGGAUGCGGGGCGGCUCGUCUCCACAUCACUUUCGGGUGGUUGCCGGUGCGGGUAGGUCGAUAGAGGGGGUCGGUGACGGCCCUCCCAGAUAAAUGAUAAGACGGUGAGGCACGCCCACGGGUACGGCCUUGUCGACAGAAUCCGGCUUAUAGAUUCAGGUCGUUG